GAGGCUAUAGCUCAGUGGUAGAGUACAUGCCUAGCAUGCACGAGGUCAUGGGUUCAAUCCCCAGCAUUUCCA
RNAcentral lists this transfer RNA (72 nucleotides) under Camelus bactrianus (Bactrian camel). It matches the Rfam family "tRNA". From Rfam's summary of the family: Transfer RNA (tRNA) molecules are approximately 80 nucleotides in length. Their secondary structure includes four short double-helical elements and three loops (D, anti-codon, and T loops). The record is from Rfam by way of RNAcentral. RNAcentral also lists the same sequence under 1 other name. Lineage: Eukaryota; Metazoa; Chordata; Mammalia; Artiodactyla; Camelidae.